RNAcentral lists this ribosomal RNA (269 nucleotides) under uncultured prokaryote. Its description in RNAcentral is "partial 16S ribosomal RNA". It matches the Rfam family "Bacterial small subunit ribosomal RNA", at positions 524 to 792 of the family's 1533-position model. The record is from RNAcentral.
AACGUAGGACACGAGCGUUAUCCGGAUUUACUGGGCGUAAAGCGUGUGCAGGCGGUGCGGUAAGUCGGACGUGAAAGCUCCCGGCUCAACUGGGAGAGGCCGUUCGAAACUCCCGCACUAGAGGGCAGGAGAGGAGCGUGGAAUUCCGGGUGGAGUGGUGAAAUGCGUAGAUAUCCGGAGGAACACCAGUGGCGAAGGCGGCGCUCUGGACUGCUCCUGACGCUAAGACACGAAAGCUAGGGUAGCGAACGGGAUUAGAUACCCUCGUA